Ribosomal RNA from Cyanothece sp., 118 nucleotides. The record is from Rfam. Lineage: Bacteria; Bacillati; Cyanobacteriota; Cyanophyceae; Gomontiellales; Cyanothecaceae.
CCUGGUGUCUUUAGCGCUGUGGCCCCACUUCGAUCCCAUCCCGAACUCGACUGUGAAACGCAGCAGCGGCCAAGAUACUUGUCGGGUAGCUGACUGGGAAAAUAGCUCGAUGCCAGGU